UGAGGAAUAUUGGUCAAUGGGCGAGAGCCUGAACCAGCCAAGUAGCGUGAAGGAUGAAGGUCCUAUGGAUUGUAAACUUCUUUUAUACAGGAAUAAAGUGAGGUAUGUAUACCUUUUUGUAUGUACUGUAUGAAUAAGCAUCGGCUAACUCCGUGCCAGCAGCCGCGGUAAUACGGAGGAUGCGAGCGUUAUCCGGAUUUAUUGGGUUUAAAGGGAGCGCAGACGGUUCGUUAAGUCAGUUGUGAAAGUUUGGGGCUCAACCUUAAAAUUGCAAUUGAUACUGGCGGACUUGAGUGCAGAUGAGGUAGGCGGAAUUCGUGGUGUAGCGGUGAAAUGCUUAGAUAUCACGAAGAACUCCGAUUGCGAAGGCAGCUUACCAAACUGUAACUGACGUUCAUGCUCGAAAGUGUGGGUAUCAAACAGG
Molecule: ribosomal RNA, 424 nt
Filed under: uncultured bacterium
Lineage: Bacteria
Description: bacterial SSU rRNA
Rfam family: Bacterial small subunit ribosomal RNA
Source: RNAcentral